Molecule: non-coding RNA, 107 nt
Organism: Gossypium raimondii (Peruvian cotton)
Lineage: Eukaryota; Viridiplantae; Streptophyta; Magnoliopsida; Malvales; Malvaceae
Source: Rfam
AAACCAUGCAUUGGACAUUUCCUAAGUAAUUCCUUGAAUCACUCCCAAGCUUCAUACAACAUCUCUUCCUCUAAUUGUCAAAAAGAUGUGAGAUCAUUCCUUAACUU